Molecule: ribosomal RNA, 593 nt
Filed under: uncultured bacterium
Lineage: Bacteria
Description: bacterial SSU rRNA
Rfam family: Bacterial small subunit ribosomal RNA
Source: RNAcentral
GCCCGCACAAGCGGUGGAGCAUGUGGUUUAAUUCGACGCAACGCGAAGAACCUUACCAGGGCUUGACAUCUACCUGACGUAUUUUAGAGAUAAUUUACUUCUUUCGGGACAGGUAGACAGGUGGUGCAUGGUUGUCGUCAGCUCGUGUCGUGAGAUGUUGGGUUAAGUCCCGCAACGAGCGCAACCCUUAUUCUUAGUUGCCAGCAGGUUAAGCUGGGCACUCUAGGGAGACUGCCGGUGACAAACCGGAGGAAGGUGGGGAUGACGUCAAAUCAUCAUGCCCUUUAUGUCCUGGGCUACACACGUGCUACAGUGGCCGGUACAACGAGUUGCGAGACAGCGAUGUUUAGCCAAUCUCUUAAAGCCGGUCUCAGUUCGGAUUGCAGGCUGCAACUCGCCUGCAUGAAGUCGGAAUCGCUAGUAAUCGCGAAUCAGCACGUCGCGGUGAAUACGUUCCCGGGCCUUGUACACACCGCCCGUCACACCACGAAAGCUGGCAACACCCGAAGCCGGUGACUUAACCGCAAGGAGAGAGCCGUCGAAGGUGGGGUUGGUGAUUGGGGUGAAGUCGUAACAAGGUAACCAAGGGCGAA